This 552-nucleotide ribosomal RNA is filed under the name uncultured bacterium. RNAcentral describes it as "bacterial SSU rRNA". It matches the Rfam family "Bacterial small subunit ribosomal RNA", at positions 212 to 755 of the family's 1533-position model. The record is from RNAcentral.
CUAUCGCCUGAAGAGGGGUUUGCGUCUGAUUAGGCAGUUGGUGAGGUAACGGCCCACCAAACCUACGAUCAGUAGCCGGUCUGAGAGGAUGAACGGCCACACUGGAACUGAGACACGGUCCAGACUCCUACGGGAGGCAGCAGUGGGGAAUCUUCCGCAAUGGACGAAAGUCUGACGGAGCAACGCCGCGUGAGUGAUGACGGCCUUCGGGUUGUAAAGCUCUGUGAUCGGGGACGAAUGGCUGGUAUGCUAAUACCAUAUCAGAGUGACGGUACCCGAAUAGCAAGCCACGGCUAACUACGUGCCAGCAGCCGCGGUAAUACGUAGGUGGCAAGCGUUGUCCGGAAUUAUUGGGCGUAAAGCGCGCGCAGGCGGCUUCUUAAGUCCAUCUUAAAAGUGCGGGGCUUAACCCCGUGAUGGGAUGGAAACUGGGAGGCUGGAGUAUCGGAGAGGAAAGUGGAAUUCCUAGUGUAGCGGUGAAAUGCGUAGAGAUUAGGAAGAACACCGGUGGCGAAAGGCGACUUUCUGGACGACAACUGACGCUGAGGCGCG